Molecule: long non-coding RNA, 8455 nt
Filed under: Octopus vulgaris (common octopus)
Lineage: Eukaryota; Metazoa; Mollusca; Cephalopoda; Octopoda; Octopodidae
Source: RNAcentral
AUGAUUUGAAGUUAGUGGGUCUACUGGUGUGUAAUUUGUGAAACUUCUUAGUUUCUCUAUCUUCACUUCAAACGUAACUAUUUCUCUCUGUGUGUAUGUGUGUACAUUCAGUACUUGUUGAGUUAGCUUUUUUUCUCUUUAUUCUCCACAAUUCCUACAGUCCAACUACUUGACUCUGUUAAUCUGUUUUCUUUUCCACCUUUGUUUCACAAGUCUCUUGGGUAUUGUGUAAUUGGACGUUUUUACAUAAUCUUCAAUGUUCAGGCUUAUAUAUUUAGAAUUGCCAAAGGAGGAAUUUUCAGUAAUUCUUAUUUAGUCACAUUGCUUCAAAUUACUCAUGCAUUAUCUCUUACCUUUGAGAUUUUGAUGAGGUAACUAUUAAUUUUCUGAAUAAUAUGGUAGGAUUGGUGUGAGAGGCCACAUCUGGCCAGUUUGACCAUAAAGCAGGUUGAAUAUUUUUGGCUGGAUAUGGCUGGUUUAACUGCUAAAGGGUUAAAUCCAGUUCUACUAAUCAAAAAGGUGAUAGUUACUGCUUUUACAUGGUAAACUCUACUUAUUUGAGUCAGUUAUGUGUCAUAGAAAUUAAUGACUAGCUCUGGCUGAAAAUUCAUAAGACGGUUCAUAUUUAAGAGAUUUGUCAUAACCUCUCAUUUUAAAAAUCUUUUCAAGGUUUUUCUUAAGUUUUCAUACAUUUAAACUGUUUUGUGAGUAAAAACUGUUAGAAUCCUGAUACAAAUUUCAAAUCAGUGACUAAUAUUAAUUCCCUCAGUUGCUUGUAUGUGAAUUUGCUGAUUGAUAAAUUGCCACUGGAACUGCCUGUCGUCUCUCAGCUACUUAAUUAGGGUUGAUGGCUGUUGGUUUAGUGGCCCCAGUCAAGAGAGAGGAGUUGCGUAGUUAUCUUAAUAUUGGCACUAUUUUCUCUGUUUGCUAAACCUCAUCUGAACUUAAUAUAACGUCUGGUUGUCGCUAAUAUAUAUAUAUAUAUAUAUGUGGCUCAGCUUCUCAAGUUGACAGUAAAUGUCCAUCAAACAAUUCACAAUUCAUUCUAUCAUCGUUGCAGCUGUUAAUUUGACCCUGGAUAUAACAUAGCUUCAUUUCUAAUUGUUGUCACUGGAAAGAAAAUGUAAGAGGAAAAAGAAAAUUGUAAUUUCAUUAUCAGUGAUAUCGCUACUUUCAUCAUUGUGUAUGUAGGUGCGGGUGUGGCUGUGUGAUAAGAAGCUUCCUUCCCAACCACAUGGUUCUGGGUUCAGUCCCAUUGCAUGGCACCUUGGGCUGACCAAAGCUUUGUGAGUGGAUUUGGUAGAUUGAAACUCAAAGAAGCCCAUUGUAUGUGUGUGUGUGUGUAUAUAUAUAUAUAUGCAUAAUGUCCUUGUUUGUCCCUCACCAUUUCUUCACUAGUGUUGGUGUGUUUACAUCCCUGUAAAUUAGUUGGCAACACAGAAUAAGUACCAGGCUUUAAAAAUAAGUUUCUGAUCAAUUUAUUUGAUUGAAAUUUCUUAAAGAUGGUAAACACACACACUGUAGUUACUGAUCAUUUCUAUUUUAAUAUCCAUCUUUUGAAGCUGUCAGACAUGACAUUCACUUCAAAGAAUGUUGCCAUUCAUUUCAACCUUAUUUCGCCUGCCAGGCCUAAGAACACUUUUUCCCUGUUUAUUCUUGAAAUUGUUCAUUUCAUUGUUGUGGCAUCAUACAUGUGCACAUUCACAAAGAAUUUGUACAGCUUACUCAUUGUCCAUGAAUAGGAAUUGACUCUUAAAGGUUUUCUCUUGGAAUUAGCACUUAUCCCAAAUUCUGGUCAAAUUUUAACUGCAUUUGUGUCUUACAUUUUGUUCUUUUCAUAACUUUUACAAGUUGAUUCUUGCCAUCUUUCCCUGCUGUGAAUCUUACAAAACUUGCAGUAAUCAGUAAUACUUCACAUAAAAUAUCUCAACCAGUUAACAUUCUAACAACUUCACAGUUCUUUAUUUUGGAAACUGGUACAAUUGCUUGAGGGUUAGACAAUAUUUACCGUUCAUCAGCGGUAUCAAAUCAAAUUGAAAUUGUAGUUGUGAGCCCCAUGCCAAAAGCACAUAAAAGGCACCAUCCGAAUGUGGCCGAUGCCAGUGCUACUUUGACUGGCUUCCAUGCCGGUGGCAUGUAAAAAGCACUCGCUACACUCUUGGUGUGGUUGGCGUUAGGAAGGGCAUCCAGGUGUUGAAACACUACCAGAUCAGAUUGGGGCCUGGUGCAGCCUCCUGGCUUUCCAGACCCCAGUCGAACCGUCCAACCCAUGCCAGCAUGGGAAACUAGCAUUAAACGAUGAUGAUGAUUGGCUAAUAUUGGUUUGUAUUGUCACCAUACUGACAACACUAGAGAAGAUUUUAGAUUUUCUGUGUUCUGUUCUAAUUUUGCAGUGUUUAAUGUUGUAGGGGAAUAAUUUUUGUUUUUCUUUGGUCAUAAUAUGAAGAAUUUUGAAGUAAUUAAUGGUGAGAAAGAAACCUUGUUUGAAGAUGGAGAGUAGGUGCAAGCAGAGAAUUUCAGGUAGCAUAAGGAUUGAUGGGUGACAGCUUGUGUGAGAUAUGGUUAUUACAAUAAUGUAAAUUUGAGCUGAUUUUUAACUUGAUUUGAGCAAAAUUUGAUCAUUUAAUGUCCGUUGUCCAUGCUAGCAUGGGUUGGACAGUAUGACUGGGCUGGCAUGUGGAAGGCUGCACCAGACACCAGUCUGAUUUGGCAUGGUUUUCUACUGCUAGAUGCCCUUCUUAAUGCCAACUGCUCCGAGAGUGUAACCGGUGCUUUUACGUACCAUUUCUGUGACACUGGGGUGUGUUUACAUGACAAUUUGUGUGGCACCAGUAUCAGCCACAACUGAUUUUGCUUGGCUCGAUGGGUCUUCUCAAGCACGACAUAAUGCCAAAGGUCUCGGUCAUUGCCUCUGUGAGUCCCAACACUCAAAAGGAACUCAGCCACUUAGCCUCUGUGAGGCCCAAUGCUUGAAAGGAAAUUGCUAGAAAUACUUAAUUCUACAUGGUUUGGGAAUGAAUUCAAACUUUUUUUUUUUAAAACAACAUUUAUGAUGACAUUAUUAAGGUCGUCUUUCGAACAUGAAAUUUUAAUGGAUGGUUUUAAUUUAUUGUACUUUAAAAUGGGGGUUUUGUAUCAAAGGACCAAGGGUAAUCUCAAAAAGGUCAAUGUUAGUAACGAGAUGGAGAAUGAUGGGAUUCUAGUUUUUGGUUGUUGUAUGAAAAUCGAUUCUAAUAUAAGUUAAGUGAAUCAGUCUGGUUCUAAGUAAUCAGGUAAGUAAAUAUUCUGUGAAAUCUUGAAUCUAUUUUCAAUUUUCUUGCAUUGGUUGUUUUGAUAUGGAAAGGAUUUGGUCAGAGCAAGUUUAGCUUGUGAGAAAAGUGCCUUGCUGUAUAUUGUAUAUUAACUAGUGACUUUUAUACAGUUUAGUAUUUGAUAUCAUCACAUUAAAUGUAAACAGUGUUAAGUUAGCUAAAUGUUCUAAUUGCUGAGAGUUAAACUUUAACAAAGAAGUUUUUGUUUCACACAGGAUUUGAACCGACUAACCCUAACUUUAGCCACUGCUCGAAACUUUUUGAGUUUGCUAGUGGCAUGUGUAAAAAGAUUCGAGUGAGGUCAUUGCCAGUACCACCUGAAUGGCCCUGUGCCGGUGACACGUAAAAAGCACCUACUACACUCUCGGAGUGGUUGGCGUUAGGAAGGGCAUCCAGCUGUAGAAACUCUGCCAGAUCAGAUUGGAGCCUGGUGCGGCCAUCUGGUUCGCCAGCCCUCAGUCAAAAUCGACCAACCCAUGCUAGCAUGGAAGGCGGACAUUAAACGAUGAUGAUGAUGUAGACUGAGCCAGUGACAUGUGUACAAUUAAUGUUAGUAGUUAACAUAGCCAUACUUAAUGAGAGGAGUAGGAUUAUCGUUUGAGGUUAGCAAUAAAUGCUAUGAAUCUGGUGAGUGUUUAUUGUAAAUUAGUAUCACAAGAUCUUUUAUCUCUAGAAGCCUUAUUCAGUUAAAUAACUGAACAGCCUCAUCAAGAGUGUGUAGCCUAAUGGGUAGGGUGUUGCACUUGUGACCCCAAGGCUGGUUUUGAUUCCUGGUUCAGGUAAUGUUCUGGAACGAAAACACUUCAUGUUGCUUCAGGUCCACUGUUGUGACCUUGGCUGCUUAUAGGCCAUGCAAAACUGGGUAACUGGCCUUCGAGUCGAGGGCUUAAGACUGUCAUGUCUAGCACAUCUACACAAUUGGUGGGAUGAUAUAUAUGCGAUAACUUCUUGUUCCCCUUUGCCAUCUUAUAGGCAUUGCUCUGUCCAAAAUCAUUAAAGACGUGGGAAUUAAGGGUGAAAAAUAAAGAGAACUGCUCUGUAAUGAUUGCUUCUGGUCCUUCAGAUUAACAAAAGGAAGAUAUUCUUUACAAAUGUAUUGGUAUUGUUAUGUCCUCAUUAAUUUAGCAUUUCUUCAGUAAUUAGAAUAACUUGAAUAAAACAAUUUUGUAUGAAGGGGUGACAGGUAGUCCAGUGAUGGUCAGUUGAAGAACUAACACCUUUGAUGGAUUCAAUCAGAAAUUUCCUGACAGCAUUAGUGAAUUCUUUGGGUCUUAGUUGAACUGUUUCUUUUUUCUUGAGCCCUGAUACUUGUAACGUUGGUUUCUGUGGCAGAAGUGAUUUGUGAUCACAGCAUUUCAAAUGAAAGGGAUAUCAUUCCAUUGCAAGAUUCAAUGGUGGUGUUGGGGGGCAAGUUGAUCAACAAGUCCAGUACUUGACUGGUACUUUAUUUUCAUGGUCCCAAAUGGGUGGGAAGUAAAAAUCGACAGGAUUGGGGUUCAGAACAUACCUAUUUCUUUACUACCCACAAGGGGCUAAACACGGGGGACAGACAAACGGAUUAAGUCGAUUACAUCGACUCCAAUGUGUAACUGGUACUUAAUUUAUCAAGGAUGAAAGGCGAAGUCGACCUCAGUGGAAUUUGAACUCAGAGCGCAGCAGUGGACAAAAUACCCCUAAGCAGUUCGCUUGGCGUGCUAACGUUUCUGCCAGCUCACCGCCUCAGAACAUACCACUAACCAUUUUGUUUGCCCUUAGUAGAACAACUGACUAUGAACUUUAUAUAUAUAUAUAAAUUGAUAUGUGGAAAUUGACGAUUUAAAGUCAGCAUAUUGGCAUAGAAAUAAUUUUUCUUUUGCCCUUGUUUAUAAUUUUAACCGUUAAAGGUAUUUUAAUAUGCUACAAUUUUUUUGAUGAAUUUUUUUCUGAAAAAAUUUCAUCCUAUAUUAGUAUAUAUAUAUAUAUAUAUAUAAAUUUCUCAGAGCUACAAAGCUGUUCAUACAAACUUAUCAUUUCCCGUAAUUAAAAUAUUGUAAUGGGAAGCAACUAAGGGAGAUAACUGGAUUUAUUUUGGUAAAAUUUUAGAAAUUCAUUGAAACCAACUUCCGGAAGAUAAUUGUUAGCAAUUCUAUUCAGAGGGAAGAAGAGGUGCGGAACUUUUUAAAUGGAAAUAAGAUUUGUUCAUUAAAGUAUUUUGUCUGAGCAAUCUUGUACUUUAAUAGAAUCUCUGUGUCUUUCCGUUAGAUGAGUGACAGAUGUCGGGCUUUAUAAAUGACAAGUUGGGCGAAUUGUAUUCGCUUCGUAUUUAUUGUUGGUUAAUCUCAGGUCACGCUGAUUGUGAUUUAUAAAGAAUGACCUUUCAAUUGUGACCAUGACUGUCGGCUAUUUUUAUCUAGCAGUCAAGUACAUUCCAUAAUCUGUACUUCCUGUUUUACGACAGUCAAGUGGAAUCUGAGGGAAUGGAGGUGUGACUACUAACUAUUUCUUGCAGGUUGAUAGAUAAAACCGUUCAGGUCUUCCUGUUUGACAAAAAAAUAUUGUCGUGAUUAAGGUCUCGGUUUACUAAGCAUAAUGCACCUAGGACUACAUUACCAAAUAUAUUUUCCUUAAGACCGAAGGGUGUGAUUUGAGGGACACUUAGGUGCUAUGUCUGCCUUGAGACUCCGUCGCUUCUGCAGUUCUUUGCGUGAAGUACAAAACGUUUGUUUCCCACAUCUUGCAGAAGUAAGUGAACCGAUUAUCGUUCUGAGAGCGAAUCUAUAUUCUAUAGAAAUAUAUAGUUACGAGGAUGCUAUACAAUAUUUAUAUAUAUAUAUAUAUAUAUAUAUAUAUAUAUCCUUUUGUACACCCCCACCCACCCCUUGAAAAAAAAAUUUUUUUUCUGCAGAAACCUCGCUUUUCAGCUCCGGAGAAUACGAAUCUGCAAAAGAAAAUUGGCAAAAAUCGGCAUUUUGAACUCCCCCCGCCCUUCCCCCGAUAUUUUUCUUUCUCAAAAUAUGCGGGAAAAUACGGAGAUUAUGAUUUUGAAAAGGAAUUUCCAAAAAUGUUUAUAGUUAGGGUUAGGGGGGAAAAAAGUAAAAAAUGAAGAAAUGGUGUGUGUGGAGGUGGGGGGAAUGCCGAUUUUUGGCAGUUUUCCGGAAUCUCCGUAUCCGAAAAUGGGGGGGGGGGUGAAUGGGGGAACGGGAUGAAGUCUUCCCACAUCUAUACACACACAUCUAUAAUAUAUAUAUUAUAUGUAAUAGAUGUAGAGUGAUGUUAUAUAAUGAGAUGUCGAUAAGCGAAACUAAGAAUCUCAAAACAACGUAAUUCUAUAUUGUGAGGUUUAAAGGUUAAACUGAAUUUGGCCGUUGUUUAGCGCUAGGGAGACUUUGAUCGAGUAGUGACCCUUGAUUUAGGCAUAUUAAAUUUUACUUUUACUUGUUUGUCAUUAGACUGUGGCACCAAUUUGGGGAAUUUUAGUCGAACGAAUCGAUCCCAGGACUUAUUCGUUUUCAAGUCUGGUGUUUAUUCGAUCGGUCUCUUUUGCCGAACCUCUAAUUAUGGGGACAUAAGCAAACCAACACCUUGUGGUGGGAGGGAACAUAUCGGCGGCGGAGGUAAAGAAUACGUACACCACUGGUUUUCGGCGUAACAAAAACCCUACCCACCAGGUGUAAGUAAUCUUUACCUUCGCCCACAUAUCUAUAUACGAGAGGCUUCUUUCAGUUUCCGUCUACCAAAUCUAUUCACAAAGCUAUGGUUGGUCCAAGGCUAUAAUAGAAGACACUUGUUUAAGGUGUCACCAAACACGGAACCAUCAUCAUCAUCGUUUAACGUCUGCUUUCCAUGCUAGCAUGGGUUGGACGAUUUUACUGAUGGCUGCACCAGGCCUCCAAUCUUGAUCUGGCAGAGUUUCUACAGCUCGAUGCCCUUCCUAACGCCAACCACUCAGAGAGUGUAGUGGGUGUUUUUACGGGUGCCAGUCAGGCGGUACUGGCAACAACCUCACUUGAAUCUUUUUACACAUGCCACUGGCACAGGUGCCAGUAAGGCGACGUUGGUAACGAUCACGCUCGAAUGGUGCUUUUUUUACGUACCACCGGCACGGAAGCCAGUUAGCCGCUCUGGCAACGAUCACACUCGGAUGGUGCUCUUGGCACCCUACUAGCACGGGCACAGGUGCCAGUAAGGCGACGCUGGUAACGAUCACACUUGAAUGGUGCCCUUUUAUGUGCCAUUGGCAUGGAAGCUGGUUAGCUGCUCUGUCAACGAUCACACUCAUAUGGUGCUCUUUGCACCAUGUGGUUGAGAAUCCAAUCUGCCAUAUUUUUCCUUAAAGAUCUGAGCAUUUGGUUAGAAAAUGAUUUGGAUAUCAUUUCAAUCAGUUCAACCAACUUAGAUUUAUGGUAUGAAGAGGAAACCCAAAGUGAUGAAUAUCUGAUUCACAAAAACGAAUUUCAUUAUUAAACUAAAAUACCUCUUGUCUGUCAUGUUGGGUUUCUACUGAAAUUCUUGCUAAUUGACUCAAUCAUAAACAUAAAUGGAUUUGGUAAGGAGAAAGAAAAGGCCAACUUUUUAUCUUUCUAGGAUUGAUCAAGCUACGACCCUUCUCAAUACGUCUGGUUUUGUGCCUUUGUAAGAAAGCAUUGUCGUUAUUGGUGAUGAGGUAGAAGAAUUGGCAGAUAGUCACACUAAAAUACUUGUAUUUGUGUCUGCUUUGAGUUCAAGCCUGACUGGUGAUUGUUCACUAUAUUCUAUCCCUAUUUGGGUCAAUAAAAUAAAAACUAGUUGUUUAGCCUCAUGUCAGUGCUGCCCGUGUGGACCUAUGAUUAAAAAUUUUCCAGUCGUGACCACCUUUAGUGGAAAAGCAUCAUCAUCAUCAUUGUUUAACAUCCGCUUUCCAUGCUAGCAUGGGUUGGACGAUUUUCACUGAGGGCUUGCGAAACAGAUGGCUGCACAAGCCUCCAAUCUUGAUCUGGCAGAGUUUCUACAGCUGGAUGCCCUUCCUAAUGCCAACUACUCAGAGAGUGUAGUGGGUGCUUUUUACGUGCCACCGGCACGGGGCCAAUAAGGCGGUACUGGCAGUGACCUUGCUCGAAUCUUUUUACACAUGCCAGUGAAGCGACGUUGGUAACGAUCACGCUCGAAUAGUGCCUUUUUACAUGCCA